CUACGGGGCGCAGCAGUGGGGAAUAUUGCACAAUGGAGGAAACUCUGAUGCAGCAACGCCGCGUGGAGGAUGACACUUUUCGGAGCGUAAACUCCUUUUAUAUAGGAAGAAGAUGACGGUACUAUAUGAAUAAGCGCCGGCUAACUCCGUGCCAGCAGCCGCGGUAAUACGGAGGGCGCAAGCGUUACUCGGAAUCACUGGGCGUAAAGAGCGUGUAGGCGGAUUAAAAAGUCAGAAGUGAAAUCCUAUAGCUUAACUAUAGAACUGCUUCUGAAACCCUUAAUCUAGAAUAUGGGAGAGGUAGAUGGAAUUUCUGGUGUAGGGGUAAAAUCCGUAGAGAUCAGAAGGAAUACCGAUUGCGAAGGCGAUCUACUAGAACAUUAUUGACGCUGAGACGCGAAAGCGUGGGGAGCAAACAGGAUUAGAUACCCGUGUAGUC
Molecule: ribosomal RNA, 439 nt
Filed under: uncultured bacterium
Lineage: Bacteria
Description: partial 16S ribosomal RNA
Rfam family: Bacterial small subunit ribosomal RNA
Source: RNAcentral